UACGGAGGUCUCAAGCGUUGUUCGGAAUUACUGGGCGUAAAGGGUGCGCAGGCGGCGCGGGGAGUCAAAUGUGUAAUCCAGGGGCUCAACCCCUGAACUGCGCUUGAUACUUCCGCGCUCGAGCUUUGGAGAGGAGUCUGGAAUUCUCGGUGUAGCAGUGAAAUGCGUGGAUAUCGAGAAGAACACUUAGGGCGUAGGCAAGACUCUGGACAAAUGCUGACGCUCAUGCACGAAGGCUAGGGUAGCGAACGGG
RNAcentral lists this ribosomal RNA (253 nucleotides) under uncultured bacterium. RNAcentral describes it as "partial 16S ribosomal RNA". It matches the Rfam family "Bacterial small subunit ribosomal RNA", at positions 524 to 776 of the family's 1533-position model. The record is from RNAcentral.